UCCUCAUAAGUUCGACAAUAGGAGGUACCAUGAAUCUUUAUAUUUUAAUAGCUCCUGUUAAUUUAUAUAUAUGGUGAUACAAAAUCGGAAGCCCCGACUGUUUACUAAAAACACAGCUGUCUGCAAUUACGAAAGUAAUAGUAUAGAUAGCGAGAUUUGCCCAAUGCCACGCGUAUAAGUAAAAUAAUGGGUAACUGUUUCUUUACAAACAGGUGGUUAAUAGCGGUCUUAACUAUGAGGAUCCUAAGGUAGCAAAAUAAGUUGGCCAUUAAAUGUGGUCCGGUAUCAAUAAUUUAACGAUGGCUUCACUGUCUCUACAACUUGCUCAGUGAAAUUGAAUUACCCGUGCAGAUGCGGGUUGCCUCAAAGAGGACGGGAAGACCCUAUGC
This 389-nucleotide ribosomal RNA is filed under the name Leucogyrophana pinastri. RNAcentral's name for it is "partial large subunit ribosomal RNA". It matches the Rfam family "Bacterial large subunit ribosomal RNA", at positions 1725 to 2096 of the family's 2925-position model. Lineage: Eukaryota; Fungi; Basidiomycota; Agaricomycetes; Boletales. The record is from RNAcentral.